RNAcentral lists this ribosomal RNA (253 nucleotides) under uncultured bacterium. RNAcentral's name for it is "partial 16S ribosomal RNA". It matches the Rfam family "Bacterial small subunit ribosomal RNA", at positions 524 to 776 of the family's 1533-position model. The record is from RNAcentral.
GACAGAGGGUGCAAACGUUGUUCGGAAUUACUGGGCGUAAAGCGCGUGUAGGCUGCUCUGCAAGUCGGGUGUGAAAGCCCUGGGCUCAACCUAGGAAGUGCACUCGAAACUGCAGAGCUGGAGUCCUGGAGAGGAAGGCGGAAUUCUCGGUGUAGAGGUGAAAUUCGUAGAUAUCGAGAGGAACACCGGUGGCGAAGGCGGCCUUCUGGACCGAUACUGACGCUGAGGAGCGAAAGCGUGGGGAGCGAACAGG